AGGACGAACGCUGGCGGCGUGCUUAACACAUGCAAGUCGAACGAGGCCCUGCCUUCGGGCAGGUGACCUAGUGGCGAACGGGUGAGUAACACGUGGGCAACCUACCCUCAGCUCUGGGAUAACCCCGGGAAACCGGAGCUAAUACCGGGUAUGACCAAGAACGACAUCGUUCUUGGUGGAAAGUUUUUCGGCUGAGGAUGGGCCCGCGGCCUAUCAGCUUGUUGGUGAGGUAACGGCCCACCAAGGCGACGACGGGUA
Molecule: ribosomal RNA, 258 nt
Filed under: uncultured bacterium
Lineage: Bacteria
Description: partial small subunit ribosomal RNA
Rfam family: Bacterial small subunit ribosomal RNA
Source: RNAcentral